AGUUAAAAUUUCCAUCUAUUUCUAUUGUUAAAUUGGCAUGACUGAUAGAAUAACCAGAUAGUUACAUAUGAUACGUCACGUGUACCUCAUGUUAACAUAUAGAGAUGGAUGAAAUUUUUAAUA
This is a non-coding RNA of Gossypium raimondii (Peruvian cotton), 123 nucleotides long. The record is from Rfam. NCBI's taxonomy places the organism in Eukaryota, Viridiplantae, Streptophyta, Magnoliopsida, Malvales, Malvaceae.